UGAGAAACAGAUCAUCCAGGUCAAUGGAGACAUCAGACUCUGGAUCUUUAGGAAACUGGAUAUAAACUCAUGAAAGAAGCAGUAUGUCCAGUCCAGGGAGGAGACUCAGAAUUUCUCCAAUCAAAUCAUGGCUAUCCAUUCCCCUUUGUCAGGGUAUUGACCUUUCAUCAAUGUAUCCUUUCUCUGAAGACACAGUGCUGACUCCCAAGGACACCAACAAAAUUAUUCUUUACUGUUAUGCCACAAUUCACAACCAACAAUGUAAAAAAAAAAAAGAACAUGCCAACAAUAUCAAUAAAAA
Molecule: long non-coding RNA, 301 nt
Organism: Canis lupus familiaris (dog)
Lineage: Eukaryota; Metazoa; Chordata; Mammalia; Carnivora; Canidae
Exons: 3
Source: RefSeq, a predicted model, not a curated record